RNAcentral lists this ribosomal RNA (253 nucleotides) under uncultured bacterium. Its description in RNAcentral is "partial 16S ribosomal RNA". It matches the Rfam family "Archaeal small subunit ribosomal RNA", at positions 474 to 727 of the family's 1478-position model. The record is from RNAcentral.
UACCAGCACCCCGAGUGGUCGGGACGAUUAUUGGGCCUAAAGCAUCCGUAGCCGGUUCUACAAGUCUUCCGUUAAAUCCACCUGCUUAACAGAUGGGCUGCGGAGGAUACUAUGGAGCUAGGAGGCGGGAGAGGCAAGCGGUACUUAGUGGGUAGGGGUAAAAUCCGUUGAUCCAUUGAAGACCACCAGUGGCGAAGGCGGCUUGCCAGAACGCACUCGACGGUGAGGGAUGAAAGCUGGGGGAGCAAAUGGG